GCCCGGCUGCUCAGUCGGUAGAGCACGAGACUCUUAAUCUCGGUGUCGUGGGUUCGGAGCCCACGUUGGGCG
RNAcentral lists this transfer RNA (72 nucleotides) under Trichonephila inaurata madagascariensis. It matches the Rfam family "tRNA". From Rfam's summary of the family: Transfer RNA (tRNA) molecules are approximately 80 nucleotides in length. Their secondary structure includes four short double-helical elements and three loops (D, anti-codon, and T loops). Lineage: Eukaryota; Metazoa; Arthropoda; Arachnida; Araneae; Nephilidae. The record is from Rfam by way of RNAcentral.